CCUGAUGCAGCCAUGCCGCGUGUGUGAAGAAGGCCUUCGGGUUGUAAAGCACUUUCAGCAGUGAGGAAAGGUUAGUAGUUAAUACCUGCUAGCUGUGACGUUAACUGCAGAAGAAGCACCGGCUAACUCCGUGCCAGCAGCCGCGGUAAUACGGAGGGUGCGAGCGUUAAUCGGAAUUACUGGGCGUAAAGCGUACGCAGGCGGUUGAUUAAGCGAGAUGUGAAAGCCCCGGGCUCAACCUGGGAACUGCAUUUCGAACUGGUCAACUAGAGUGUGAUAGAGGGUGGUAGAAUUUCAGGUGUAGCGGUGAAAUGCGUAGAGAUCUGAAGGAAUACCGAUGGCGAAGGCAGCCACCUGGGUCAACACUGACGCUCAUGUACGAAAGCGUGGGGAGCAAACGGGAUUAGAUACCCCGGUAGUCCACGCCGUAAACGAUGUCUACUAGGAGUUCGGUUUUUCGGAACUGUCUUCCAAAGCUAACGCAUUAAGUAGACCGCCUGG
This 501-nucleotide ribosomal RNA is filed under the name Pseudoalteromonas sp. 1Bf5S85. RNAcentral describes it as "bacterial SSU rRNA". It matches the Rfam family "Bacterial small subunit ribosomal RNA", at positions 382 to 876 of the family's 1533-position model. Lineage: Bacteria; Pseudomonadati; Pseudomonadota; Gammaproteobacteria; Alteromonadales; Pseudoalteromonadaceae. The record is from RNAcentral.